CAAGUCGAACGAGGUUAGUUUUGUAGCAAUACAGAGCUGACCUAGUGGCGAACGGGUGCGUAACACGUGACCUACCUGCCCAAAAGUGGGGGAUAGCUCGCCGAAAGGCGAAUUAAUACCGCAUGUGGUCGCAAGACCAAAGCAGCAAUGCGCUUUUGGAGGGGGUCGCGGCCUAUCAGCUUGUUGGUGAGGUAACGGCUCACCAAGGCUUUGACGGGUAGCUGGUCUGAGAGGACGACCAGCCACACUGGAACUGAGACACGGUCCAGACACCUACGGGUGGCAGCAGUCGAGAAUUUUUCUCAAUGGGGGAAACCCUGAAGGAGCGACGCCGCGUGGAGGAUGAAGGCUUUCGGGUUGUAAACUCCUGUCAUCUGGGAACAAAACUCGCAAGAGCUUGAUAGUACUAGAAGAGGAAGAGACGGCUAACUCUGUGCCAGCAGCCGCGGUAAUACAGAGGUCUCGAGCGUUGUUCGGAUUCAUUGGGCGUAAAGGGCGCGUAGGCGGCGGGGUAAGUCUGGUGUGAAAUCUCGGAGCUCAACUCCGAAAUUGCACUGGAUACUGCUCUGCUAGAGGGCUGGAGAGGAGAUCGGAAUUCACGGUGUAGCAGUGAAAUGCGUAGAUAUCGUGAGGAAGACCAGUGGCGAAGGCGGAUCUCUGGACAGCUCCUGACGCUGAGGCGCGAAGGCUAGGGGAGCAAACGGGAUUAGAUACCCCGGUAGUCCUAGCAGUAAACGGUGCACGUUUGGUGUGCGCGGAUUCGACCCCGUGCGUGCCGGAGCUAACGCGUUAAACGUGCCGCCUGAGGAGUACGGUCGCAAGAUUAAAACUCAAAGAAAUUGACGGGGGCCCGCACAAGCGGUGGAGUAUGUGGCUUAAUUC
RNAcentral lists this ribosomal RNA (882 nucleotides) under uncultured Verrucomicrobiae bacterium. Its description in RNAcentral is "bacterial SSU rRNA". It matches the Rfam family "Bacterial small subunit ribosomal RNA", at positions 58 to 952 of the family's 1533-position model. The record is from RNAcentral. Lineage: Bacteria; Pseudomonadati; Verrucomicrobiota; Verrucomicrobiia.